GGUUAGCUCAGUUGGGUAGAGCACAGUGCUGAUAAUGCUGAGGUUGCAGGUUCAAUCCCUCUAUAGGACA
Molecule: non-coding RNA, 70 nt
Organism: Podarcis lilfordi (Lilford's wall lizard)
Lineage: Eukaryota; Metazoa; Chordata; Lepidosauria; Squamata; Lacertidae
Source: the annotation of a GenBank genome assembly